GACGAACGCUGGCGGCGUGCUUAACACAUGCAAGUCGAACGGAAAGGCCCUGCUUUUGUGGGGUGCUCGAGUGGCGAACGGGUGAGUAACACGUGAGUAACCUGCCCUUGACUUUGGGAUAACUGCAGGAAACUGGGGCUAAUACCGGAGAGGAGCUCCUGCUGCAUGGUGGGGGUUGGAAAGUUUCGGCGGUGGGGGAUGGACUCGCGGGUUAUCAGCUUGUUGGUGGGGUAGUGGCUUACCAAGGCUUUGACGGGUAGCCGGCCUGAGAGGGUGACCGGCCACAUUGGGACUGAGAUACGGACCAGACUGCUACGGGAGGCAGCAGUGGGGAAUAUUGCACAAUGGGCGGAAGCCUGAUGCAGAAACGCCGCGUGCGGGAUGACGGCCUUCGGGUUGUAAACCGCCUUCGCCUGUGACGAAGCGUGAGUGACGGUAAUGGGUAAAGAAGCACCGGCUAACUACGUG
Molecule: ribosomal RNA, 468 nt
Filed under: uncultured bacterium
Lineage: Bacteria
Description: partial 16S ribosomal RNA
Rfam family: Bacterial small subunit ribosomal RNA
Source: RNAcentral